UCAGGUCUAGUCAAUCAAAGGAUGACGAGC
This 30-nucleotide non-coding RNA is filed under the name Homo sapiens (human). Lineage: Eukaryota; Metazoa; Chordata; Mammalia; Primates; Hominidae. The record is from RNAcentral.